AUAGGCAUAUCAAUAAGCGGAAGAGAAGACACCAACAGGGAUUGCCCCAGUAACGGCGAGUGAAGCGGCAACAGCUCAAAUUUGAAAUCUGGCUUCGGCCCGAGUUGUAAUUUGUAGAGGAUGCUUUUGGUGAGGUGCCUUCUGAGUUCCCUGGAACGGGACGCCAGAGGGUGAGAGCCCCGUAUAGUUGGACACCGAGCCUCUGUAAAGCUCCUUCGACGAGUCGAGUAGUUUGGGAAUGCUGCUCAAAAUGGGAGGUAUAUCUCUUCUAAAGCUAAAUACUGGCCAGAGACCGAUAGCGCACAAGUAGAGUGAUCGAAAGAUGAAAAGCACUUUGAAAAGAGGGUUAAAUAGUACGUGAAAUUGUUGAAAGGGAAGCGCCUUGUGACCAGACUUGUGCCCGGUGACAUCCAUGUUCUCACUGGUGCACUCUGCCGGGCUCAGGCCAGCGUCGGUUCUCGCAGGGGGACAAAAGCUUCGGGAACGUAGCUCCUCCGGGAGUGUUAUAGCCCGUGCUCAAUACC
This 524-nucleotide ribosomal RNA is filed under the name Coniochaeta arenariae. Its description in RNAcentral is "partial large subunit ribosomal RNA". It matches the Rfam family "Eukaryotic large subunit ribosomal RNA", at positions 34 to 574 of the family's 3401-position model. The record is from RNAcentral. Lineage: Eukaryota; Fungi; Ascomycota; Sordariomycetes; Coniochaetales; Coniochaetaceae.